This is a non-coding RNA of Macaca mulatta (Rhesus monkey), 1427 nucleotides long. NCBI's taxonomy places the organism in Eukaryota, Metazoa, Chordata, Mammalia, Primates, Cercopithecidae. The record is from RefSeq and is a predicted model, not a curated record.
UUCCCAUCUCUGUGUUACAUCACUGGGUCACACACACAUUCUAGAUUCCAAUACAGAAAGGACCAUAGGCACUGGUUCAUUUCCUGCAUUGUGAAUUGAGACAGAACCAGAUUCUAAGUAAAUUAUCUUUCUUUUGUAUAUAAUUGAAAUUUAGCUUCAGGAUCAAUAUUCUUUAAACAUGGUACAAGGGAGGAUGACCAGCAGCCGCAAUGUUAGGGCAAGGGAAAUCAUGACUAGAGUCCUCUCAGAUAAACACUAGAAUGUUCACGCCGCAGUCUCUUAGUGCCUGUCUUAUGCAGAGUCCAUCCUCCGAGUCAGGAUUCAAAGGGAAGCAAGGUAAGCUUGAUCUCUACCUUCCUGGAAGUUACAUUCUAGAGGGGAGAUGGACCAUAAAGAGCCAACACGAUGUAAACUAGAAGACUGGGGAUGUCAACUAGAAGACUGGGGAUCCUGAUAUUUCAAUCAAGAAAAUAAAACUGGGCAAUACGAUGGAUUAGCCAGAUGGAAGGCACAGUCGGGUCAGACUGGACUGCCAGGGAAGGUCUCACUGACGCGGUGACACUGAAUGGAGACCAGGAGGACAAGAAGCCAACCAUCUGGAGAUUUGGGGGAGAGGGAAUACGGGAAACACAUGGGCCUGGAGGGCGAAGUGACCCUGGCCCUUCCUAGAGGCAGGCUGACGGGGCUGGAGAGUAGAAUGAAGAGUGUGCUGACAGGUGAGGCAGGAGAUGUGGGUGCACACCAGAGUGUCUGCGGAUUUGGAAUCAGCUUCCAGAGUCCAGGAAGGAGUCGACACGUAGUACUCCCGGCAAGAGAAAAUGGCAGGUUAGACUCGCGGUAGUAACGCAGAUAGAAAGCAAUGGCUGGCUUUAUGAGAUAUUUUAGAAGGAACUAUAUAACUCAUUGAGUGACUAGAUGUAGACAGUGAGGGAAAGAGAGAAAUCAAGGAUGACUCAGGCUGUUUAACUUGAUUAGCUAGCUGAAUGGAACGUGGUGCCAUUUAGGAAGAUGGAGAAAACCGCAGACGAGCAAGUCAGGAGGAAAAACCGAGUUCUGCACUGGCCUCAUUCGGUGUGAGACGCCUUUAAACCAGUGGUCCUCAAAGGAGGGUAUUUUUGCUUCCAAGGGCAGAGUAGGGAAUGUCGAGAGACAUUUUUGGUUAUCACAACUGGGAUAGGGAGAUGUCACCAGUAGGUAAGGCUAGUGGGGAGAUGUCACUAAACACACUGCAAUGCACGGGACAGCCUCCCACAGCAAAGAGCUACGCAGUCCAUGUCAUCAAGACCGAGUUUGGGAAACCCUGCUUCAGACAAUCCACGGAGAUGUCAUGAAGGCCGCUGGAGCAACGUGUGUCUGGAACUCAAAGAGAAGUCAGCAUUACAAGCAUACAUCUGUUUUUUCUCAACAGCUUGUUUUUCUUGUGUUGC